AAAAAAUCUUAAAUCUGCUUAGCCUCUUUGGCUUGGAUGGGUGAUAAAGGCACUGCCUUCUUUUUCUUCUUCAUUUUUUUUCUCUCCCAGUUUUAAUUAAACCAAGUCAGUAGCUGCCGACGCAGCGAACCGCCAAAGUCCAAAGUGGCAUCCUGAACAUGCCGAUAUACACUGCCUUUAAUCUCGUCUCGGGCAGAACCCAUCCACUCGUUCGAAUAAACGAUUCGUUCGCAGGAGCCGAACCUAUGCAAGAACACUCACGCACGCGAGUCAGCGUCAGCAAAGUCAUUACGUUCAGUAAAGAAAGAAGAGUGUCGUGGUGGUAGUGUCCAUGCGUCCGAGUCACUCUUCUCCGAUCUGUCGCCUCACUGAUGCUGAAUAUAGUAUAAUAUCAAAUCUUAUAGAUAAUAUCUCGUGAUCCUGUGUCAGAAAAGCCACUUUAGAAACAAGAAGUUGGUGAUUUCUUUCUUUCUUUCUUUCUUUUUAAAUAAGAAGAAUAAUAAUAAGAGGAAGUGGUGCCGUGACCCUUUAAAAAUCGGCUAGCUAUUUAUGUCAAAUUCCUCAUCGGAUGGCGUGGUUCGUCCUCUGAGAACUGAUUAAAGAUUCUUGCGGUGCUAAUCGGUCCAGACGGUCACGCGGCAACGUUAUUUGUUUUGUGAAACCAGCAAGGCUAGUAUCCCCGUAGCAUUAGCUACAAGUGCCAUCAGUAUCGCAGCGCAUCAGCUUUCGCACCAGAUUUUAUUUUUAAACGUAUGUCAUUCUUAUUGCUAAUAUUUUUUUGCGUCGUUAUAUUCAUUUAUUAUCUGUAAACAUAAUAGUGAAGUACAUUAUCAGAUAACCUAGUAAUACGUAGGAGUAUGAAGCUGCGCUGCGCUUUUUUUCACUGCCGCUACCGCAGUAGUUGGGAGGUAACCGGUGGGUGGCUUGGUAGUGCGCAAGUGUAUUGGUAUGUAUCUGUGCGAGCGUGUGUGUGUGUGUGUGUGUGUGGUGUGCGUUCUCCUUUCAAUAUAAUAGCAUUGCCAGUAUUUCACUUCUUCUGGGAAGAUUUUCAUUGGGUGCCUUGUGGCUACAAACGUUUGCUCAUUUAGAACGCCUCAUUGUGGUUCAUGUAAAGUGUGGUAGUUAAUACGGGACCCCUAUGUGUCAUUGAUUUGAUUUUCCGAUUAAAAGGACCAUAUUUAUAGUAUUUCCUUUCGGCGCGAGAUCGUAAGAUUGUUAGUCCCUUGUGUGGUUAUACCAAACCAUAAGACAAUAUCCUGAUCUGAUCCCUACCUUUAACCUUUAACCCUAACCUACAGGUGAUCUCUCCCAUCACCCUGACUCACACAUAGCACUCUCAGCACCAUCACUUACCUCAGACUUGCUCAGCAGCGCACCCUACUGUCUGUCAGUACUAACAUUCCAGUUCAGACGUUUUUCCACGGGCCCAGAAUGCCUUGUUGGCCUGCCCCUCUCCGGGCUGUUUUCUCUUUGUACACGUGCAUGCUUUUUAUAGAUAUAUUGAUCAUUAUAUCUUCAUAUCCAUAUCCAUCCGUCGGUAAUGUCUCCCUCUCCCUGUAGUUGAAAGCCCUAUAUCAUCCAUAAUGUCCGUGCGAUUGAUGUAUUGAUCAUAGCGUCUAGGAGCAUGAGGAUUGAAAGCGUGAUAGUGUAGAUGAGGUCACUUCCUGCGUUGGAGCAAAGCUCUCAUCUACUUUAAUGCUCCAUUUUCUUCCUCGAAGGACAGACCCAUCUUAGGUUUCUUUUUCUUUUUUUUUUUUCUUCGGUGUGUGUGCUCCCACUGCCACGACUCUGUGCGCUUUCUCAGCUGUCAAGGUCUGCUUUCUUACCGACUUGAAAGUGCUGUAGAACGAAUUUUAAAACGAGAUAUUAAAAAUGUGACGUGCUUUAAGG
This is a long non-coding RNA of Ictalurus punctatus (channel catfish), 1890 nucleotides long. NCBI's taxonomy places the organism in Eukaryota, Metazoa, Chordata, Actinopteri, Siluriformes, Ictaluridae. The record is from Ensembl.